GGGGUGAGUAACACGUGGAUAACCUACCUAUAAGACUGGGAUAACUUCGGGAAACCGGAGCUGAUACCGGAUAAUAUAUUGAACCGCAUGGUUCAAUAGUGAAAGACGGUUUUGCUGUCACUUAUAGAUGGAUCCGCGCCGCAUUAGCUAGUUGGUAAGGUAACGGCUUACCAAGGCAACGAUGCGUAGCCGACCUGAGAGGGUGAUCGGCCACACUGGAACUGAGACACGGUCCAG
RNAcentral lists this ribosomal RNA (237 nucleotides) under uncultured Staphylococcus sp. RNAcentral's name for it is "partial 16S ribosomal RNA". It matches the Rfam family "Bacterial small subunit ribosomal RNA", at positions 104 to 334 of the family's 1533-position model. Lineage: Bacteria; Bacillati; Bacillota; Bacilli; Caryophanales; Staphylococcaceae. The record is from RNAcentral.